Molecule: long non-coding RNA, 308 nt
Filed under: Brassica napus (rape)
Lineage: Eukaryota; Viridiplantae; Streptophyta; Magnoliopsida; Brassicales; Brassicaceae
Description: long non-coding RNA (BNAP_LNC003658)
Source: RNAcentral
CGUUGUGCAGCUGUAUUCAACACAUAUGAUGUAAGGGUAUGAAUCGAGAGGAAUGGAUAACAGUUGUAAGUGUGCCAUAAACAAUUCUAACCUAACGACGAACUGAAGAUGACGACAAGUAUAUUCUAUACUGAUUGUAUGAGUUUCCAUACUAUGUACGUAUGUGGAAUAGUAAUAUUAUAAAUGUAGUUCCAAGUGAAAUAUGGUCUUCAUAAUUUCGCUACUGUUAAAAAAGUACAUGAUGCAAGGAAAGUACGUAAUGCUUUACCCAAAAUCAAGCCAAAUAUUCCAUAAAUAAAUUUAUCAAC